AGGACGGGCCUUUCAGGCAUCCUCUCCUAAAAACUUUCACGGGCCGGUCAUCUGAUCGGCCCUUUUUUUUGCCUGCG
Molecule: small RNA, 77 nt
Filed under: Sphingomonas palmae
Lineage: Bacteria; Pseudomonadati; Pseudomonadota; Alphaproteobacteria; Sphingomonadales; Sphingomonadaceae
Description: Makes More Granules Regulator RNA (mmgR)
Rfam family: Makes More Granules Regulator RNA (mmgR)
About the family: SuhB later renamed mmgR (makes more granules regulator) was a putative non-coding RNA found multiple times in the Agrobacterium tumefaciens genome and related alpha-proteobacteria.
Source: Rfam by way of RNAcentral